RNAcentral lists this long non-coding RNA (1273 nucleotides) under Gallus gallus (chicken). Its description in RNAcentral is "lncRNA (ENSGALG00010004267.1)". The record is from RNAcentral. Lineage: Eukaryota; Metazoa; Chordata; Aves; Galliformes; Phasianidae.
CCCACCUCUCUUCCUACAUUGCCGUAACUCCCUUUGCAAGUAAUUCUCUGUGAAGGACACACCAAGUGCCAACUCCACUGCUGCCAAGCUAGCGAUGCACAGAGAGUAUGGUCAUCUACCCUGGAGCCUGGCAAAGAGACUGUGCAUCUGGUCCAGAAAUCCCAACUGCAUUUGGAACUCUUUCAGUCCAUAGAUAUUUUCUAUUAAUUAGUCCUGGGAAGCUUUGCAGCCAUUCCUAAAAUAAUGCAAGAAACUAUUGAAGACAUCUCCAGAACAUCUCAACAUUAGCAAAGGCUUAUGGAAGGAAUAAGACUACCGUUCCCUAAAGGCAUAGCAACUGAGACAGGGGCUGACACCAACCACCUCCUCAAGCCAGCUUGGCACAGCCCAGCUCCCAUCUGUUCUCAGCCAGCCAGCUCCAAGGCCAGAGCACAGAGGAGGCUAUGUGUGUCUGUGUUUAUCUGCAACCAAUGCUGCAGAAGGAUCUACGGUACUCCUCAAUGCUACAGCUCACCUUCCUCACCAGGAGCAGCCAGAGACAUGUGAGACAAAGCCAAAGGCUGCUGGGAAGUUUACUGGGGAUCUUGCUAAUUCCUGGAUUUGGUGAUACUUUGAUAUCAUUUUGAAUUUCAACCAUUCAUCAGCAUGCACGAAUUCUGCAGGUUACAUCAGUUCCAGACAACUUCAUAUGAAGAUAAAAUUCUCUCUUCCUCCACUGCCAAGUAGCUUGUUUCUUCCAGUUCCUCUCAGUGUUACAAGGCGUUGCUCAGAUCACCUGCUUGGUGGUAGGCAUUGCAGAUGCUGUGGUAUCUAAAUCCUUUCCUACUCUGCACGAGAAGGCUUAGAAUUUAGCAAAUGGCAGUAAAUUACCAUUCAGACAUCCAGGACUUCCAGGACCAGAGAAAUCUGCAGAAGAUGCCUUUGUGGCCCAGUGCUGAUGACAUUACCAUAGGAGAAUGGGCCUUGCCCUUGAUGUUGCUGACACAUUUUAUACAACAGCUACUCUGGGACAAGUUCUGCCAUCUGAUCUCUGGAGCAGAGAUGGUGGUCCAUCCAUGGGACUGCAUGUGUACAAAGAAUGUCAUCAGAUUUUCACCUCUCCCUUAGCUUUUCCCUCUUCUUCCCUUUGGACUAUCUCUGGGUCAUAGCUGCCUUUAUAAUGGAUUUUGAUCAUUUAAUUAAAGAUGCAAAAAAUCUGUUACAUGUCACAGUUCAGUAGCUGUAUUGAUUGAUAAUAAAAUCAGAUGAUUAGGUUUUUUUCUUUCCUAAAAUG